CUCAUUGGCUCAGAAACUAGCCUUUCCUCCCUGUCCCUACUCCUCAGAGCAAGAGCUCCACCAUACCCCAGGUCCUGUUCAUGCUUUCUGGUGCUGUAAAUCCUAACUAGUCACUGAAAAUGAUAACCUCAUGGAUUUUUCUUGUGACUUUGACUUGGAUUUGUGGAGACUCCAAAAUAAGGUUAUUUCAGGAUCAAAUAACCUUAACCCGAAGAUCAGACAGAACAGCACACAUCAGUUGCAAGGCCUCUGGGAUCCCCCUCCAGAAUGCCAUUGUGCACUGGUAUCAACUGAAAGAAGGGGAGCCCCUGAAGCGGAUCCUUUAUGGCUCCUCCAAGACUAACAAACAAGAUAAGCCCAACCCCCGCUUGGAGACAGAAGAGAGAGAAGAUGGCAUCUUUUAUCUGAUAAUCAAUAAUGUUGUCACCUCAGAUGAAGCCACAUACUUCUGUGCUUGCUGGGAUCCCACAAUGUCACAGAGUCACAAGGGACCUGUAUGAGAACCUCCCGAUUAAGACCCCUCAGCUGUGUUUAUAUGCAACCACAUGGACUCUCCAAUACUGUCAUUGCCAGGUUCACAGGUGUUGGAACAGAAAGGUGCUUGGGACAUAUUUAGCCCAAUGCUUUCACUUAAAAUUAGGAGCCAACUGGCUUGCUCAAGCUAGCGAACCUCAGAAGCAGGAAUACUCCUACCUUUCAGACUCUGUUCAGUGCCUCUUUCUACCUCUCUUGUGGUCAAUAUUGAUUAUUUUUUUAAAGCAACAUUGCAUAUCUUUCAAAAGGAAUCUGGGAACUAUUUUUUAUCUUCCAAGUGAUAAUCCAGUCUCCAACCAGGUUUUA
Non-coding RNA from Marmota flaviventris (yellow-bellied marmot), 840 nucleotides. Lineage: Eukaryota; Metazoa; Chordata; Mammalia; Rodentia; Sciuridae. The record is from the annotation of a RefSeq genome assembly.